GAAGCACUCGUGACUCGUGAUUAAUUGAAUUCACUAGUCGAAUAACCAACACCAUGUAACCAUCUCUCUGAAAACGAAGUCUAGCAGAAACAACAAACUUUAAACCCUUUCGCCACCGGCCUCCAGCUCCUGGUUGGGGCCGGUGGCAGCCACCCUUUCAAUUUUUGUUUUCAUCUUCCUCCCUCUUUCUUUCUCGUACUGCGAUGGUCUCGGUUCCUGACGUGGAUGGAGAUUUAUCCCCAAGCGUUUUGUCCCUCCCCGCAACUGCGAUCACCUCGAUCCCCUUCAUGGAUCGGCGGAGCAACCUGCCACCUACAUGUGGUAUGGACGGAACUUUGUUUCCGGGUUUUGUGCCCAUGUUUCAAGGUCCUAAUCCUUUGAUUUGGGGUUUUUGGGAUUAGAUUUGGGGUUCUUGGGGCUAUGAGCUCAAACAGCUCCAAUACUUUGAAUCUGCUCUCCAAUUCCUCAUACCCGCCAUUGCCUUCCACUCCAGUUUUGGGGGAUUUCAUCUCAUCUCUUGUAUGUUGCUCCUGGUCAGAGACAACUACAUGUUGUCACCCCUACAAAGGUCUGGUAUCUCUUUAUAAUGGUGUUUACACCACCUGACCAUUUUUGUUACAGCUUGGUUCUGGGCAUUCGCUUGCGUUUGUGUUCGUCUGAGGACUGGAUUUGUGGCGUUCAGGAUGGGUUUGGUUCUUCCUGAUCUGCAAGUUGGGCUUCUUUUCACCAACUUUGAAGCAUUGAUGGGUUCUUGUAUUGCACUAUGCGGUGGUAUCUCUCAGUUUUUCUGUUCGCCGGUCGUCUCCAUCUUUUCUGCGGCGGGUGAUCUUCGUUUUAGGGUGGUCAUAUUUUUUAGAAGGGCCACUUUUGUGCCUCUUCGGGUGGACUCUAGCUUUUGGGCCGAGCCACAUCUCUUGUAAUUUUAGGUAUAUUUGAGAACCGUUACUCAUGCGAUGAAUGCAUAAGUGACGUAUUAGUUGUACCUACCUCAAUUAUG
This 997-nucleotide long non-coding RNA is filed under the name Malus domestica (apple). RNAcentral describes it as "long non-coding RNA (MDOM_LNC011751)". The record is from RNAcentral. Lineage: Eukaryota; Viridiplantae; Streptophyta; Magnoliopsida; Rosales; Rosaceae.